UGUUUAAAUGUACAAUUAAGUGCCAUUCAUUACAUUCACAAUGUGUGUAACCAUCACCACUAUCUAUAAAGAGAGCUUUUUCAUCCUAAACAGAAACUGUACCCAUGAAGCAACUCCCUGUUCUCCCCUAUCCUCAGAACUUGGUAACCUCUAUUCUGCUUUCUGUCCCAAGGAAUUUCCCUAGUCUGCAUAUCCCCUGCAAAUGGAAUAAUACAGCAAGUCCUCUUAACAUCAUCGACGGGUUCUUGGAAACUGCGACUUUAAGCAAAACAACAUAUAAAGAAACCAGUUAUACCACAGGCUAAUUGACAUAAAUAACAGAUCAACACUGAUGUCAUUCAAGCAACAGCUAGAAGACCAACUCUGUCUCCGACUUAUUGAGUUGAAAUGCAUUUAUUUUUCCACUGUUAUGAAAAAAUGCAGAUUUUCCCCGAAGAAGCAUUUUUUUAAUUCAUCGCUUUUUCUUAAAGCCACGUGACAGAAAGCCAGGGCCCAGAUCCUAAGGAGAGGGACCAUCAUGGCACUGUCCAGAUCAGCUUCUUCCACAUGGGAGGGAAAAUGGCUGCUGACGGCUCCCAAGCCUCAAUCCCUUCACCCUUGCCACUGGCAAACUGCGGUUUAGGUUGCUGCCUUGGCAGUCCUGGCUGUCCUCACGGAAGAGCAUGUGAACCACGGACCUGGCUGUCUUUUUCAUUGGGUUGGCUCUGCGGUGCAGGCUGGCAGAUGAGCAUGUGAUGAGCCCGCCCUUGCUGGCCGUGCAAUUCGGCUCCUGUCAUGCUCUUGGCCAUUGAAUCGGCCUAAUGCAGCCCCUCAGCAGCCAGCCUGGUGUUCCCUGGGGCUGAGGAUCUAAUGUCAGCAGGGCAUGAUUCGAUUCACAUUAAAGAUGGAUAUUAAGUCUUUUUA
This 903-nucleotide long non-coding RNA is filed under the name Homo sapiens (human). RNAcentral describes it as "HSALNT0377372". Lineage: Eukaryota; Metazoa; Chordata; Mammalia; Primates; Hominidae. The record is from RNAcentral.